Molecule: long non-coding RNA, 613 nt
Filed under: Panax ginseng (ginseng)
Lineage: Eukaryota; Viridiplantae; Streptophyta; Magnoliopsida; Apiales; Araliaceae
Description: long non-coding RNA (PGIN_LNC011330)
Source: RNAcentral
UAAAGUGUACAUUACAUGCCUGUACUGAAGUUCUUUAAUAACAAGGUCAUGUUGAAUGUUACACCAUGUAAGAAGGUUAGGCGAAUCUGAACACCACGAAAAAUUGUGAACAGCGUUAUGUCAAAAGAAGCAUGUUGAGGGUUAGUCUCCAUUUUUACUGAAGCCUGGGAAUUCCGACUUGCAGAAGCAAUUUGUAGUCGAUAUACCAGAUGCAUGAUGUUUGGAGAGAAACCAGGUUAAGGCAGCAAAUCAAGCAUGUUGAGGGUUAUUCUCCAUUUUUACUGAAGCCAGGGAAUUCUGACUUGCAGAAGCAAUUUGUAGUCGAACACCAAAUGCAUGAUGUUUGGAGAGAAACCAGGUUAAGGCAGCAAGUGGGGUUCUUGUGGCGAUUAUCUCAUUCAGUGAAUGACUGUAAUCAAGUCAUACUGUGUAGUGUAUUAGUGUAGCACUUGUUCUGCAGUAUGCGCACGCAGAUGUUAAUUGUCACCCUCCUUUGUUAUUAUUAUUGAUCUUUUGGUUCAAUAUUCUGGCCAUGUAUUUCCAUUUUUCUUUGUUAUAUUGAAUAAAAUAAAGUUUCCCCCCCUCAUUUACCACCCCUGAUGCUAUUUAUAAU